This 115-nucleotide ribosomal RNA is filed under the name Danio rerio (zebrafish). The record is from RNAcentral. Lineage: Eukaryota; Metazoa; Chordata; Actinopteri; Cypriniformes; Danionidae.
GCCGGCAGCUAGCUCUCUGUAACUCUCACAUGGUCGCCCACUGAAGGUAAGCAGGGCUGUGCCCGGUCAAUCCCUGGAUGGGAGACCACAUGGGAAAGCUAGGUUGCUGCCGGAA